RNAcentral lists this unclassified non-coding RNA (240 nucleotides) under soil metagenome. RNAcentral describes it as "partial contains 5.8S ribosomal RNA, internal transcribed spacer 2, and large subunit ribosomal RNA". The record is from RNAcentral.
AACGCACGAGACCUGCGGACCUGCGGAGGGAUCAUUACAGAGUUGCAAAACUCCCUAAACCAUUGUGAACGUUACCUAAACCGUUGCUUCGGCGGGCGGCGCGCCCUCGCGCGCGCCCCUGGGCCCCACCGCGGGCGCCCGCCGGAGGUCACCAAACUCUUGAUAUUAAUUGGCCUCUCUGAGUCUUCUGUACUGAAUAAGUCAAAACUUUCAACAAUGGAUCUCUAGAUCGGAAGAGCA